RNAcentral lists this ribosomal RNA (255 nucleotides) under uncultured bacterium. RNAcentral's name for it is "partial 16S ribosomal RNA". It matches the Rfam family "Bacterial small subunit ribosomal RNA", at positions 29 to 313 of the family's 1533-position model. The record is from RNAcentral.
AGCGAACGCUGGCGGCAGGCCUAAUACAUGCAAGUCGAGCGCCCUUUCGGGGGAGCGGCGGACGGGUGAGUAACGCGUGGGAACGUGCCCUUUGCUACGGAACAACUGAGGGAAACUUCAGCUAAUACCGUAUGUGCCCUUCGGGGGAAAGAUUUAUCGGCAUUGGAGCGGCCCGCGUUGGAUUAGGUAGUUGGUGAGGUAAAGGCUCACCAAGCCUACGAUCCAUAGCUGGUCUGAGAGGAUGAUCAGCCACAC